GGAUGAUGCCAGGCAAAUCCGGCAUCAGAGCUGAAACCUGAAAGUACGGGGUCCCCUUCGGGGGAACCUGAGAGCGAGGGUAACCAUACUCCCGAGAAAAUGGGCUAAACUCAUGUUGGCGGUACCCGUACCGCAAACCGACACAGGUAGUUGGGUAGAACAUACUAAGGCGUUGAGAGAUUCAUGGCUAAGGAACUAGGCAAACUGACCCCGUAACUUCGGGAUAAGGGGUCCUCACCUCCGGGUGAGGCGCAGAGAAUAGGUCCAGGCAACUGUUUAACAAAAACACAGGGCUGUGCGAACUCGAAAGAUGAAGUAUACAGCCUGACACCUGCCCGGUGCCGGAAGGUUAAGAGGAGAUGUCACCGCAAGGGAAGCAUUGAAUUGAAGCCCCGGUAAACGGCGGCCGUAACGAUAACGGUCCUAAGGUAGCGAAAUUCCUUGUCGGGUAAGUUCCGACCUGCACGAAUGGUGUAAUGAUCCGGACGCUGUCUCGGCCAUGAGCUCAGUGAAAUUGUAGUAUCGGUGAAGAUGCCGAUUACCCGCGAUGGGACGAAAAGACCCCGUGAACCUUUACUACAGCUUAGCAUUGACCUUGGUCAUCCGAUGUGUAGGAUAGGCCGGAGGCUUCGAAGCGGCGUCGCCAGGCGUUGUGGAGCCAUCCUUGAAAUACGGCCCUUUGGCUGUCUGAGGUCUAACGUGCGAUGUGCGGACACUGCUUGGUGGGUAGUUUGACUGGGGUGGUCGCCUCCAAAAGCGUAACGGAGGCUUCCAAAGGUGCCCUCGGGCCGUUUGGUAAGCGGCCUUCAAGAGUGCAAUGGCAAAAGGGCGCUUGACUGGGAGGGAGACAUCCCGAGCAGGCAGGAAACUGGGGCAUAGUGAUCCGGCGGAUGUGUAUGGAAACUCCGUCGCUCAAAGGAUAAAAGGUACUCCGGGGAUAACAGGCUGAUCCCCCCCAAGAGCUCAUAUCGACGGGGUGGUUUGGCACCUCGAUGUCGGCUCGUCACAUCCUGGGGCUGGAGAAGGUCCCAAGGGUUGGGCUGUUCGCCCAUUAAAGUGGCACGCGAGCUGGGUUCAGAACGUCGUGAGACAGUUCGGUCUCUAUCUAUCGUGGGCGCAGGAGUUUUGAGUGGUGCUGUCACUAGUACGAGAGGACCGUGACGGACAGACCUCCGGUGUACCGGUUGUGCCGCCAGGCGCACCGCCGGGUAUCCGCGUCUGGAUCGGAUAAGCGCUGAAAGCAUCUAAGUGCGAAGCUUUCCACGAGAUUAGAACUCCAUUGAGGGUCGUCGCAGACGACGACGUUAUAGGGCGCAGGUGUAAAGACGGCGACGUCAAAGCCGAGCGCUACUAAUUGCCUU
RNAcentral lists this ribosomal RNA (1361 nucleotides) under metagenome. RNAcentral's name for it is "bacterial LSU rRNA". It matches the Rfam family "Bacterial large subunit ribosomal RNA", at positions 1524 to 2911 of the family's 2925-position model. The record is from RNAcentral.